This 431-nucleotide ribosomal RNA is filed under the name uncultured bacterium. RNAcentral's name for it is "partial 16S ribosomal RNA". It matches the Rfam family "Bacterial small subunit ribosomal RNA", at positions 29 to 507 of the family's 1533-position model. The record is from RNAcentral.
AACGAACGCUGGCGGCAGGCUUAACACAUGCAAGUCGAGCGCCCCGCCAGGGGUGCGGCAGACGGGUGAGUACCGCGUGGGAACGUACCUUUUGGUUCGGAACAACUCCGGGAAACUGGAGCUAAUACCGGAUAAGCCCUAACGGGGAAAGAUUUAUCGCCGAAAGAUCGGCCCGCGUCUGAUUAGCUAGUUGGUGAGGUAACGGCACACCAAGGCGACGAUCAGUAGCUGGUCUGAGAGGAUGAUCAGCCACACUGGGACUGAGACACGGCCCAGACUCCUACGGGAGGCAGCAGUGGGGAAUAUUGGACAAUGGGCGCAAGCCUGAUCCAGCCAUGCCGCGUGAGUGAUGAAGGCCUUAGGGUUGUAAAGCUCUUUUGUCCGGGAAGAUAAUGACUGUACCGGAAGAAUAAGCCCCGGCUAACUUCGUG